AAAUUCAUGAAACUAAAAUUAAUUGGCGGCUUUUUAAAUAUUUUAGAGAAAUUUAUUCUGUAAAGGAUUUAACCCCAAAAUCUUACUUUUUUUUGUAUAAUAUACAAAAAUAUAUUACAUUUCAUAUACCUCUAUUUUUUGAUUAUUAAAUAAAUUAUAGCAUUUUCUAUGAUUGUUUAGAAGUAUUUUAGGGAAAGGUGUGGAUUAUAAAAAAGAUUGAAAUAAGUUUUAUUAAUUAGUAUUUAAUGAA
RNAcentral lists this ribosomal RNA (250 nucleotides) under Neoseiulus picanus. RNAcentral describes it as "partial 12S ribosomal RNA". Lineage: Eukaryota; Metazoa; Arthropoda; Arachnida; Mesostigmata; Phytoseiidae. The record is from RNAcentral.